RNAcentral lists this ribosomal RNA (253 nucleotides) under uncultured bacterium. RNAcentral's name for it is "partial 16S ribosomal RNA". It matches the Rfam family "Bacterial small subunit ribosomal RNA", at positions 526 to 779 of the family's 1533-position model. The record is from RNAcentral.
CGGAGGAUCCAAGCGUUAUCCGGAUUUAUUGGGUUUAAAGGUGCGUAGGCGGCCUGUUAAGUCGGGGUGAAGACGGUAGCUCAACUAUCGCAGUGCCCUUGAUACUGAUGGGCUUGAAUGGACUAGAGGUAGGCGGAAUGAGACAAGUAGCGGUGAAAUGCAUAGAUAUGUCUCAGAACACCGAUUGCGAAGGCAGCUUACUAUGGUCCUAUUGACGCUGAGGACACGAAAGACGUGGGGAUCAAACAGGAUU